This 301-nucleotide ribosomal RNA is filed under the name uncultured bacterium. RNAcentral's name for it is "partial 16S ribosomal RNA". It matches the Rfam family "Bacterial small subunit ribosomal RNA", at positions 509 to 809 of the family's 1533-position model. The record is from RNAcentral.
CAGCAGCCGCGGUAAUACAGAGGGUGCGAGCGUUAAUCGGAUUUACUGGGCGUAAAGCGUGCGUAGGCGGCUUCUUAAGUCGGAUGUGAAAUCCCUGAGCUUAACUUAGGAAUUGCAUUCGAUACUGGGAAGCUAGAGUAUGGGAGAGGAUGGUAGAAUUCCAGGUGUAGCGGUGAAAUGCGUAGAGAUCUGGAGGAAUACCGAUGGCGAAGGCAGCCAUCUGGCCUAAUACUGACGCUGAGGUACGAAAGCAUGGGGAGCAAACAGGAUUAGAUACCCCUGUAGUCCCUGUCUCUUAUAU